UUAUCAUAACAAACUUUUUUCCUUAUAUCCAACCUAAAUUCUCUCCUCUUUUAGUUUCAAACCAUUUCCCCUUGAUUGAGAUCAAUAAAUCUAACAUGUACAGUACAUGUUUUGACAACUAAAUUUUCAUUACAGAGCAAAUGGGGAUGUUUGGAAGAAAUCCUAUAUUUUUUUCGUAAAAUCAGCAGGACUUGUUGUAACUACUAUCUUGAUUGCACUGAUACAGCAUUUUCAGAAGUGUGGACACAGGACAGGAGGAGCAAACUUGCAACUCGCGAGCUGGAGACUAACAGAUGACAAUCUUGAGCAGUAUGACUGGGAUGACACAGUCCUCCUUCAGUAUAUGUCACCACGUGGUUUUCUAUUGGUUGCAAACAGGGAGCUGAGUGUGCAAGAAAAACCCUUGUGUGGAGGGACCUCAUACUACAAACUCCGCUGAGCAAAAGAAUGAAGAGUUGCUGAACAGCAGCCAAGAGACUAUCCCAGGAAUAGCUGACAUGGAUACAUGUCUUGCCUCCACAUUUCAAGGUAAACCCAUGAAGUGUGGCCUAAGUAAGUGGAUUAAACACUGAAGUGGACUGAACAAUGACUGAACUGCUGGGCUCAGGGAUUU
Molecule: non-coding RNA, 613 nt
Organism: Meleagris gallopavo (turkey)
Lineage: Eukaryota; Metazoa; Chordata; Aves; Galliformes; Phasianidae
Source: RefSeq, a predicted model, not a curated record